This 468-nucleotide ribosomal RNA is filed under the name uncultured bacterium. RNAcentral's name for it is "partial 16S ribosomal RNA". It matches the Rfam family "Bacterial small subunit ribosomal RNA", at positions 28 to 507 of the family's 1533-position model. The record is from RNAcentral.
GACGAACGCUGGCGGCGUGCUUAACACAUGCAAGUCGAACGGAAAGGCCCUGCUUUUGUGGGGUGCUCGAGUGGCGAACGGGUGAGUAACACGUGAGUAACCUGCCCUUGACUUUGGGAUAACUUCAGGAAACUGGGGCUAAUACCGGAUAGGAGCUCCUGCUGCAUGGUGGGGGUUGGAAAGUUUCGGCGGUUGGGGAUGGACUCGCGGCUUAUCAGCUUGUUGGUGGGGUAGUGGCUUACCAAGGCUUUGACGGGUAGCCGGCCUGAGAGGGUGACCGGCCACAUUGGGACUGAGAUACGGCCCAGACUCCUACGGGAGGCAGCAGUGGGGAAUAUUGCACAGUGGGCGGAAGCCUGAUGCAGCAACGCCGCGUGCGGGAUAACGGCCUUCGGGUUGUAAACCGCUUUCGCCUGUGACGAAGCGUGAGUGACGGUAAUGGGUAAAGAAGCACCGGCUAACUACGUG